RNAcentral lists this ribosomal RNA (406 nucleotides) under uncultured bacterium. RNAcentral describes it as "bacterial SSU rRNA". It matches the Rfam family "Bacterial small subunit ribosomal RNA", at positions 29 to 423 of the family's 1533-position model. The record is from RNAcentral.
AAUCAACGCUGGCGGCGUGCCUAACACAUGCAAGUCGAACGCGAAAGUCCCGCAAGGGAUAAGUAGAGUGGCAAACGGGUGAGUAACGCGUGGGCGACCUACCUCUGAGUGGGGGAUAACCUUCCGAAAGGAGGGCUAAUACCGCAUGGCAUCCCGUGUUUGGAUACACGGACAUCAAAGCCGGGGAUCGUAAGACCUGGCGCUUGGAGAGGGGCCCGCGUCCGAUUAGCUAGUUGGUGGGGUAACGGCUCACCAAGGCUCCGAUCGGUAUCCGGCCUGAGAGGGCGGACGGACACACUGGAACUGAGACACGGUCCAGACUCCUACGGGAGGCAGCAGUGGGGAAUUGUUCGCAAUGGGCGCAAGCCUGACGACGCAACGCCGCGUGGAGGAUGAAGACCUCGGU